UACGUAGGGUGCGAGCGUUAAUCGGAAUUACUGGGCGUAAAGUGUGCGCAGGCGGCGCCGCAUGUCGAGUGUGAAAGCCCCGAGCUUAACUUGGGAAUUGCGCUCGAAACUACGGUGCUGGAGUGUGGCAGAGGAAGGUGGAAUUCCACGUGUAGCGGUGAAAUGCGUAGAGAUGUGGAAGAACACCGAUGGCGAAGGCAGCCCCCUGGGAUGAGACUGACGCUCAUGUACGAAAGCGUGGGGAGCAAACAGG
Molecule: ribosomal RNA, 253 nt
Filed under: uncultured bacterium
Lineage: Bacteria
Description: partial 16S ribosomal RNA
Rfam family: Bacterial small subunit ribosomal RNA
Source: RNAcentral